Molecule: ribosomal RNA, 332 nt
Filed under: uncultured bacterium
Lineage: Bacteria
Description: bacterial SSU rRNA
Rfam family: Bacterial small subunit ribosomal RNA
Source: RNAcentral
CGUGUAGGCGGUUGGUCAAGUCUGGCGUGAAAGCCCGGGGCUUAGCUCCGGAAGUGCGCUGGAAACUAGCCGACUGGAGCGCGAUAGAGGAGGGUGGAAUUCCUGGUGUAGCGGUGAAAUGCGUAGAUAUCAGGAGGAACACCGGCGGCGAAGGCGGCCCUCUGGAUCGUUGCUGACGCUGAGACGCGAAAGCGUGGGGAGCAAACAGGAUUAGAUACCCCGGUAGUCCACGCUGUAAACUAUGGGUACUAGGUGUUCGGGGUGUUGACCCCCUGAGUGCCGACGCUAACGCAUUAAGUACCCCGCCUGGGGACUACGGCCGCAAGGCUAAA